RNAcentral lists this long non-coding RNA (254 nucleotides) under Elaeis guineensis (African oil palm). RNAcentral's name for it is "long non-coding RNA (EGUI_LNC081407)". Lineage: Eukaryota; Viridiplantae; Streptophyta; Magnoliopsida; Arecales; Arecaceae. The record is from RNAcentral.
CUCAGAGGUUGACAUCUCAAGAUAACUCAGAUCAGACUUUGAUCCCUCAUAUCUCUACUAUUUUUCAGAUGCUCAUAACUCAGUCCGUAUGACUUGAGGAGCUUGAGGGAUGUGUUCUGAGACUGACAGACAGAGUUCUAGAUUUGCAGAGGCAAGUAUUAGCUUUAACCCAUCCCCAGCCGCAUGAGGACAUCACAGAGGUCUCAGACCUAUCUGUAGAGGUGGCUAGACUUCGAGGAGUUUUAGAGAGUGGA